GGAACCCAACUCAUGAGGUGCCCCAGGACUGGGAGCCAGCAGGGCCUGAAAGGGUAGGGAUCCUGCCGGGGCAGGGUCUGAUCAGUCUGCUUGCUGCUGUGUAACACCUACGGAUGCUGUGUACCACCACGUCCCAGGUAAAUACUUCAGGAUGUUUCUCUACAACAGAGGUCUACAAACGUUUUCUAUAAAUAUUUGGGGCUUUGGGGGCCACACUGUCUCCACCUUGCCUACUCAACUCUGUCCUCCAAUAGGCUCCAUGCACAGUGUGGAGCCCAAUGCGAGGCUUGAACUCAAGACCCUGGAAUCAAGACCUGAGGUGAGCUCAAGAGUUGGAACACUUCACUGAGCCACCAGGUGCCUCAAAGCCUACUUUGCAUUUGAGUGAUAUCAAGGGUCUUUGCUCAGUGGAUUUGGGGUUUGUGUCCUUAGAACUUGGGGGGUUUAUGUGACCCCACGGCAUCAGACUGGGCCCGAGCCUGGCAGAGCAGCACACCAGGUCUGGUUUUGGUCACGGGGAAACCUGUGGAGGUCAUGGGGUUGAACCAGGACGCUGUCUGGACGUGAGGUGCAUGCCUAGGUGAGUCACUGAUGUUUGAAGUGAUUAGUGCCACUGCGUGAGGGCUGUGGGACAGGUACAGGGGCAGUGUGGGACAGGUAAGUCUGGUUGGCAGCUGGCUGGUGUCCAGAAGCCAACGUGGUUUUUGAGGCUGAGGGAUUUUGUUCCUGGAAGUUCUGCAGAAAGCCCUUGCCCUGAGAGUCUGAGGGUGGACUUUUCAAGCACCCAAGUAAUUUCAAGGUAAAUUGAGAACUUGGGAGCUGUGGUGUGCUGGGUCCUAGCAGCGCACAAGAGCUGACUGAUUUUUUAAAAGAUUUUAUUUAUUUGACAGAGAUCACAAGUAGGCAGAGAGGCAGGCAGAGAGAGAGGAAGGGAAGCAGGCUCCCUGCUGAGCAGAGAGCCCGAUGUGGGGCUCCAUCCCAGGACCCCGAGAUCUCGACCUGAGCCAAAGGCAGAGGCUUUAACUCACUGAGCCACCCAGGUGCCCUGAGCUGACUGAUUUUUAAGAUCUUUGGUUUUUGUUUUGCAUGCCAUUCUUGAAAAAAAAAUUAUACACAUUUAAUGAUUAGUCUUAUGAAAAACAAAUUUAGAGGUGCCUGGGUGGCUCAAUGGGUUGAGCCUCUGCCUUUAGCUCCGGUCAUGAUCUUGG
Molecule: long non-coding RNA, 1208 nt
Organism: Mustela lutreola (European mink)
Lineage: Eukaryota; Metazoa; Chordata; Mammalia; Carnivora; Mustelidae
Exons: 3
Source: RefSeq, a predicted model, not a curated record